This 294-nucleotide ribosomal RNA is filed under the name uncultured bacterium. Its description in RNAcentral is "partial 16S ribosomal RNA". It matches the Rfam family "Bacterial small subunit ribosomal RNA", at positions 775 to 1069 of the family's 1533-position model. The record is from RNAcentral.
GGAUUAGAUACCCGGGUAGUCCUAGCCGUAAACGAUGGACACUAGGUGUGGGCGGAGUCGAAUCUGUCUGUGCCGAAGCCAACGCGAUAAGUGUCCCGCCUGGGGAGUACGGCCGCAAGGCUAAAACUCAAAAGAAUUGACGGGGGCCCGCACAAGCAGCGGAGCAUGUUCUUUAAUUCGAUGCAACGCGAAAAACCUUACCUAGGCUUGACAUGGUGCUGCAAGCGCACAGAAAUGUGUGACCUUCGAGGGUGCACCACAGAUGCUGCAUGGCUGUCGUCAGCUCGUGUCGUG